This 2764-nucleotide long non-coding RNA is filed under the name Daphnia magna. Its description in RNAcentral is "uncharacterized LOC116920025, transcript variant X2". The record is from RNAcentral. Lineage: Eukaryota; Metazoa; Arthropoda; Branchiopoda; Diplostraca; Daphniidae.
UUAUUUCAAGAAAUAUAAGAAUUCCAAAAAGUUUCCCUGCACACACACAAAAAAAAAAAAAAAAUGGAAAAUUCAAUCUGGGCUUCCAUCUUUUUAGGCGGGGAAAAAUGAACUCUUCAUUGACCGCCAAAAUGCCGCUGUGGUAGCAUAAAGAAAUUUGAAACUCCCACAUCAGGUGCUCUCUUCGACGUCGUGAUCUAUACACAACAACGUAAUGACCACAAAAAAAAAAAAAAGUUUGUGUUUCCUAGCAGACGAGUCAAUCACACAGCGUUAACUUUCUCUACAGCGUCCCGACGCCCUUUUUUCUUUGAAAAAACAAAAAAGAAAAAAAAACGGGAAGAGGGAAUAACACACCCUACAGUUGGAAGAUCCUGUUACACACCUUACGAGCAACACAGUGGAAAGAAGUUCUUUUUUCGUUGUCAACGUUAGGGAGAUAGCAAUCGGCACCCCCUCCUUUAACGUACCACACAGAUUUUUUCGUCUGUUAAAAAGAUGGUGGUAGGGGGGUUCUUUUCCCCUCCACCUUGUGUGUGUGUUAAAAAUGUGAACAAGUGGCUCUGCCCCUGCUUUGUGUGUGUGUGUGUGUGUGCAAUGAAAGACGAUACCGACGAUGGUUGACAUUCAAGAUGCUGCCGGUUUCUUUUUUCGGGGGUUCUCAAACCGUUGGCAGGGCGCCAUUUUCCUUUUUUUUUUGGUGUUCAGAUAUAAAUCUGUCAAACGUGAAAAACGUAUUCAAACUGUACAUUUUUUUUUUUAAAGAACGAGGGCGUGAUUUCCUUCGUGAUGAAAAAAAAAGGCAACACGUAAGGGCGGCCAUCUUGUUUUCAUAGCCAACGGCACUAAUUAAAAGCCCUGGAGACAUAGAACGGCCGCAAGCUUCUUCCUCUAGUCAUCAUCAUCAUCUUCUUCAUAUACUGCUGGACAAUGACUGCCAAAUGAUGGUGUUCCAUGGCUAUAUAACAUCCGCGACCUCUGGGCUUGACCCCCUCCCAUUUUCCGGCCUUAGGGCAACGCAUCUUCUGUGAGUAAAAGUCAACUUAUUUUUUUUUUUUCUUUUUUGUGGACUCGAUGCUACAUACCCCCAAAAACUACUGUAUGCCUCUUUUUAUGUAAAUGACCCCCUUCGUGAAUUACCUCCACUCUGCGGCUUUACCGGAGCUUCUUCCCAGUGGGUUUCUUUUACUGCCCGGCAGCACCUGCAGGCCAUGAUGGCACCAACAACGGACAUGACGAAGUUCUUUUUUAUUUAUUUUUUUUUCUCUCUUUCUUAAAUAAGGGGAUAACCGAUUCACCUUAUUCCGGAGCAAUCAUCUUUUUUUUUUUUUUUUUUGCUUCUAACUCCGCCCAGUUAAUUACACACGUUCAGACUAUCCAGAAGAUUUUUGUCUUCCUCUUCUUUUCUUUUUUACAACCUGAAGCAGAUCAUUUUCAAGAGUAACAAAUAAAAUGCGAGAAAAAAGGACGUUUUGAGUAAAAAAAAACACGAAGACGGAUAAUUUUAAACACUUAAACAAAUACAAAUUAAGGGUGAAAUAACACAACAAGAGUUUCGAUCGUUGUCGCGUUCACAUUUCGAGUUGUAUGUCAAGUUUACCCAAUUUCACGCCAGGAAUAAAUUAAAGAAAAUCAUUGUUGAUACAAGCAUUUCUGUGAUUGGUCAACCAAAGUCAACAGGUCCCCCUUUCUUAAACAAGUGUCACACACACACACACACACACACACCUAAAGAAUUGGAAGAAAGAAAACAGAUAACUCUUUAACCUGUAUAUGUGCGUGUGUGCAAAAAUCGUAUCUUAAUAAAUCCUGUUUUUCUUUUGCCAAAAGAGUUAGCCAAGCAGAAGAACAUGGGGGGAACAACACACACAAAGGGAAAUAGAAACCCCCACCCUAAAAAAAGGUUCCUCUUCGGACGCCAGUUGGAAAAAAAGAAGAAAAAUUAGAGAAUGAAAGGAAGAAGAAGAAGUGGUUGGUUUGUAGAGAGAACUCGAUGAGUUAGACGAGAUGGUAUUUCCGGCCUGGGGACCCCGACUAUAUGGCCAUGGUACAAAAGAGGGGAUUUUUGUUUGUCUGUAAUAAGACAAGAAGAGAGGGGGGAGAGAGAGAGAAAACCCAAGUUGCUGGCCUCGACUCGCCCUUUUUCCUCUUUUGCGUGUGUGUAAAGGAAGAAGAAGAAGAAGAAAAAAAAGAGCCCCUUCAACCCCAACAGGUCGUUUCGCCUUUAAAGUGGGGGGGAGAACGAAACAAAGAGGAAGUUGGCAACCACUGCCAUCCUCUUUUGCCCCGACGGGCGACCAAAAACACCCCCAGAAAUCUUCGCUUUCAAGAAAAACCUGAACGUAAAAUGCAUUUUCGAUUUUCCAUUUUUAAAGAUUUAAAUUAAGGACAUAAGAAAUGGGGAUGGUGUAAAAUUAUAUAAUUGAAUUAUAGAGUGUGUGUGUGUGUGUGUGUGUGCAGUAAAUAUAUAGCUGAGAGGAUGCAUGAUAACCCCAUGAACGUUAAGCAAAAGAGGCCGGAAGGGAAUGAUUACACUUUUCCGUCCUGUUUCUCUCUCUCUCUUGACUCUUCAAGAGCUUUAUUUUUUAUUAUUAUUUUCUCUUUGUGUUGUUGUUCUGGAGGGACAAUUUAAGAGAUAAAAGAUGACUAUACAUAAAAACAAUGUUUUGUGUUUUUAAAAUCUUCUUCUUAAUAAACAAAAUAUAUAAAAUUAUGACUUGAAAUGAUCAAUUCAAAUCAGAAAAAAAUUACGUUUGCAACCGAC